CUUUAAAGUUAAAAAAUUUGGCGGUAUUUUAGUCUUUUUAGAGGAACCUGCCCUAUAAUUGAUGAUCCACGAUUUAUUGUACUUGUUUUAAUUAGUUUGUAUAUCGUCGUAGGUUGAAUAUUUUAUGAGAAUUAUAAUGUUCAAGAUUCUUGUUAAGGAAAGAAAUCAGAUCAAGGUGCAGCUUAUAGAUGAGAAGAGGUGGGUUACAUUAAAUUAAUUUAUAUGGUUAAUUAUUUUAAAAAUAAUUAUUAAAGUGGAUUUAAAAGUAAUAAAUUUAAAUUUAAUUUUAUGAUUUUAGCUCUAAAAUAUGUACAUAUCGCCCGUCGCUCUCAUAUAAAGUGAGAUAAGUCGUAACAAAGUAGAUGUACUGGAAAGUGUAUCUAGUCUGUCAAAUUAGAGCUUGUUAUAAAGCUUUUUAUUUACAUUAAAAUGUUAGUUGUGAGAAUCAAUUUAAUGAGUGGUUAAAAUUAUUUGUUUUUAUUAAUUAAAGUAUUAUUUUAUUUAUUAUUGUUAAGGAAAAAUUAUUUUGAAUUAUAGUUUAAUAGUAUAGUGAUAGAAAUUUUAAAAUUUGAAAUUAAAUAUUUAUAUAAGAAGAGUUAAUUUUUCGUACCUUGUGUAUCAGGGCUUAUUAAAUAAAAGUUAUUUACUUAAUUUUCUCGAUUUUAAAAGAGCUAAGAAGUUAUUUAUUUUAUUGUUGAAUAAAUAUUUAAAAUAAUUUUUUUGUAGUGAAAUGUUAUUCGUUUUUAAAUAUAUCUAGUUUUUGAAGAAAAAAAUUUAAUUUUGAUUAUAAUAUUUGAAUUAAUUUUUUAAUAAAUUUAUUUAAUAUUAUUAUUAAUAACUUAAGGGAUAAGCUUUUAGUUAGAUUUAUAUAACAAAAGUUGUUUUAUAAAAAUGUAGGAUUAGAAAUUUUCAUCAUUUAAUUUGUUAUAAUUAAUUUAUUUGUAAAUAUGAUUUUGUGUAUGUUUAUGUUUUUUAUUCAAAUUAGUUAUUUAACUAAAUUUUAAUUGAAAUUAUGAUAAAAUUAGUAUAGGUUUAUUUAUCUUUAAUUUUUACUUUAAGGUUUAGUAAAGGAAUUCGGCAAAUUUAUUUCUCGCCUGUUUAAUAAAAACAUGUCCUUUUGGUUAUAAUUUAAGGUCUAACCUGCCCAUUGAAUUUUAAAAGGCCGCGGUAUUUUGACCGUGCGAAGGUAGCAUAAUAAUUAGUUUUUUAAUUGAAAGCUUGUAUGAAUGGUUGGACGAGGAAAUGACUGUCUCUAUUAAAAAUUUAGAAUUUUAUUUUUAAGUUAAAAAGCUUAAAUAUUUUUAAAAGACGAGAAGACCCUAUAGAGUUUUAUAAUUUAUUAUUAUUGUUAUUAUUAGAAUUAUAUAUAAUGAUAUUAUUCAAUUAUUUUGUUGGAGUGACCGAAAA
Molecule: ribosomal RNA, 1407 nt
Filed under: Hesperus sp. NLG-2014
Lineage: Eukaryota; Metazoa; Arthropoda; Insecta; Coleoptera; Staphylinidae
Description: partial 16S ribosomal RNA
Source: RNAcentral